This 28-nucleotide non-coding RNA is filed under the name Rattus norvegicus (Norway rat). Lineage: Eukaryota; Metazoa; Chordata; Mammalia; Rodentia; Muridae. The record is from RNAcentral.
GGACUCUGUUAGGUGAUUCUAUGUAAGC